Long non-coding RNA from Daphnia pulex (common water flea), 940 nucleotides. RefSeq lists it as uncharacterized. The transcript has 4 exons. NCBI's taxonomy places the organism in Eukaryota, Metazoa, Arthropoda, Branchiopoda, Diplostraca, Daphniidae. The record is from RefSeq and is a predicted model, not a curated record.
CUUUACGCAAGGCAAAAAGCAUUUCAUGGGACACUGAUUGAAAACCAUGUUGAAAACGUAUCGUUGGAAACUCAACACGGCGUACUUUUCUUUCCUACAUUUUUCUUCGAAAAAAUGUUAUUUAUGUGGUAACAAAGGCACAAAGCCUCUAAUUUCUACUUGGCAAUUUCAUCUCAUCAUGUGGCCUGAGCAGCUGAACAUUUUGCCAAAAUGUCUUCUCUUUCUUCGUUCUACUUUCUAACUGAUUAACACCCUGGUGGAGUUUGAGCUUCUUUGUUGCUGCCCAACAUACACAUGGAUUUGACGCAGCCAGCUGAUAAAGGGUGUUCCUCUUGCUACCUGAUGUCUGUCUUAGCUUUACCUUCUUCUUCGUUCCAGUCUAAUUCACACAUGGAUUACUUCAGCCAGUCUGUUGAAUUUUACAUGUACAAUUUUCUUAAUGGUUUAGCGUUUCUGUUCGCGUAGUUGCUGUCCGAUGUGGCACGUUGUUGCAGCCUAUAUGCUGGUGAAAGAUCUUUCUACAACAAGUUCAAUUGGCCGUUCCUUGGUGUCGUGUUACAGAAGUUGCAUCAUUAUUUUGUUAAAUUGUCAUCGUGACUGCAGUUUAUGUUUAUAAGUUAAGAAGAACAAAAACAAAUAUGGGAUGUUCAUGUCAAACAAAUGAUAAACAUGUUUUUGGGGUUGGGAAAGGAAAGUGGAGGAUGUUGGUGGUGGGGGAGGAUAUUUAAAGUUUGGAUAAAAAACAGUUAUCUAUAACCCUACAAACAUAUCCCUACCAACUAAUCGGCAAACCCCACAAACUUAUAAGUUCCAAUUCUUUAAACCCCACAAACAUACUCCUACCAAUCUCUAAAUUUAUACCCUAAACCCCAUAAACCAAUGUCAAACCUUAACGAUGUAAUAUCUGUAAUAAAUAAAAAUAAAUAGGUCAUUUGUAAAA